This 29-nucleotide non-coding RNA is filed under the name Rattus norvegicus (Norway rat). The record is from RNAcentral. Lineage: Eukaryota; Metazoa; Chordata; Mammalia; Rodentia; Muridae.
UGUUGAAGUUUGCUUUUCAAAUUUUGGGA